UACGUAGGUGGCGAGCGUUGUCCGGAUUUACUGGGCGUAAAGGGCGUGCAGGCGGUUUGCUAAGUCUAGGGUGAAAGCUCCCGGCUCAACUGGGAGAGGUCCUUGGAUACUGACAGACUUGAGGGAGGCAGAGGAGAAUGGAAUUCCCGGUGUAGUGGUGAUAUGCGUAGAUAUCGGGAGGAACACCUAUGGCGAAGGCAGCUCGCUGGGACGUUACUGACGCUGAGACGCGAAAGCGUGGGGAGCAAACAGG
RNAcentral lists this ribosomal RNA (253 nucleotides) under uncultured bacterium. Its description in RNAcentral is "partial 16S ribosomal RNA". It matches the Rfam family "Bacterial small subunit ribosomal RNA", at positions 524 to 776 of the family's 1533-position model. The record is from RNAcentral.